Long non-coding RNA from Dermacentor albipictus, 514 nucleotides. RefSeq lists it as uncharacterized. The record is from RefSeq and is a predicted model, not a curated record. Lineage: Eukaryota; Metazoa; Arthropoda; Arachnida; Ixodida; Ixodidae.
CAGCGUUGUAGCGGGCGCUUACAGAGUGUCUAUUCCAGUGGGAUCGAUAAACUCCAGCAGGCUUCGCAGUGCAGGGAGCUGGGGACAGCCCGGGAACAGCAGGAUGCACUGAGAAUGGAGGGGGGAUUACCAGAACUGCGGAAGAUGAAGAUCCGAGAGUUCACGCUUUUCUCUCACAAGCUGUCAUGCGGGAGAACAGACUGCGGCCAGCUUGACGGCUUGUCCGACCCUUGCAAGUGGUUUCAAGCAUGUUUAGGACAGUAAACCUUGUUUGCGAGCACAAGUUCUCUUUAUGACACAAAGCUUGUUCGAGAAGAAGACAGGCAAAUUCAUCACGCUCCAUACUAGCAAUAAAUAAGAACGUUCACGCUUGAUUGCCGAGAAUAUGCACGUACGCAUGCUGGACCGAGCGUUUUAGAGCAAUAUGUUCGUUUAGCCGCAGGAGCCCUGGUUUAAGGGCACCUCCCACACAAGCAGUCUUUUCUUUUUUCUUAAAUAAAUGUUUCUCCUCCUC